CCAAUCGAACCCGGAGAUAGCUGGUUCUCCUCGAAAUAGCUUUAGGGCUAGCCUCAUGGAUCAUUGAUGGGGGUAGAGCACUGAAUGUGCGCGGGGGCCACAAAGCCUACCAAACGCUAUCAAACUUCGAAUACCAUACAAUGCAGACCAUGGGAGUCAGUCCGCGAGAGAUAAGUUCCGCGGGCAAAAGGGGAACACCCCAGAUCAACCGCUAAGGUCCCCAAGUUCACGUUAAGUGGAGAAGGAUGUGGAAUUGCACAGACAACCAGGAUGUUGGCUCAGAAGCAGCCACACAUUUAAAGAGUGCGUAAUAGCUCACUGGUCGAGUGAUUGUGCGCCGAAGAUGUCCGGGGCUAAACGUGACACCGAAGCGAUGGGUGCAUCUGAAAGGAUGCGCGGUAGAGGAGCAAUGUGCAGAGGCAGAAGCCGUAUCGAGAGGCACGGUGGACACUGCACAAGAGAGAAUGCCGGUAUGAGUAGCGAGAGGCAUGCGAGAAACAUGCCCGUCGAAAGCCCAAGGUUUCCUGGGGAAGGUUCAUCCGCCCAGGGUAAGUCGGGGCCUAAGCCGAGGACGGAAGUCGUAGGCGAUGGAUAGCAGGUGUAGAUUCCUGCACUACCGAUGGAAUGAAGCAGUGACACAGAAGGAUAACUCGAGCAGGGUGAUGGUCAACCCUGUGCAAGCAUCAAGGUUGGGUUGUAGUGAAGUACGCAAUCCUAUAAGCUGAGAUGUGAUGCGGACCGAAAUUUCAGUAGGGAAGCGAGUGAGUUCACGCUGGCGAGAAAAGCUGCUAGUAUAUCCAAAGGUACCCGUACCGGAAACCGACGCAGGUGGGCGAGGAGAGAAUCCUGAGACGAACGGGAGAACCCUUGUUAAGGAACUCGGCAAAAUGACCCCGUAACUUCGGGAUAAGGGGUGCCUGCGAGAGCAGGCCGCAGAGAAUAGUCACAAGCGACUGUUUAGCAAAAACACAGGUAUCUGCGAAAGCGAGAGCUGACGUAUAGGUGCUGACACCUGCCCGGUGCUGGAAGGUUAAGGGAACAUGUUAGAGCAAUCGAAGCAUCGAACCGAAGCCCCAGUAAACGGCGGCCGUAACUAUAACGGUCCUAAGGUAGCGAAAUUCCUUGUCGGGUAAGUUCCGACCCGCACGAAUGGUGUAACGACUUGUGAGCUGUCUCAACAGGGGGCCCGGUGAAAUUGAAGUAUGGGUGAAGAUGCCCAUUACCCGCGACUGGACGGAAAGACCCCGUAGAGCUUUACUGCAGCCUGAUAUUGAGUUUCGGUAACUGAUGCACAGGAUAGGUGGGAGUCUGAGAGACAUGGGUUUCGGCUCGUGUGGAGACGAUGUUGGGAUACCACUCUUCGGUUACUGAAAUUCUAACAUAGCUCUGUGAAACCAGAGGAUGGACAGUGUCAGGUGGACAGUUUGACUGGGGCGGUCGCCUCCGAAAGAGUAACGGAGGCGCCCAAAGGUACCCUCAGAAUGGAUGGAAACCAUUCGAAGAGCGCAAAGGCAGAAGGGUGCCUGACUGCGAGAGUGACAACUCGAGCAGAGACGAAAGUCGGGCUUAGUGAUCCGGCGGUAUUGAGUGGAAAAGCCGUCGCUUAACGGAUAAAAGCUACCUCGGGGAUAACAGGCUGAUCUCCCCCAAGAGUCCACAUCGACGGGGAGGUUUGGCACCUCGAUGUCGGCUCGUCGCAUCCUGGGGCUGAAGCAGGUCCCAAGGGUUUGGCUGUUCGCCAAUUAAAGCGGCACGCGAGCUGGGUUCAGAACGUCGUGAGACAGUUCGGUCCCUAUCCAUCGUGGGCGUAGGAGUCAUGAGAGGAGCUGUUCCUAGUACGAGAGGACCGGAAUGGACGCACCACUGGUGCAACUGUUGUCGUGCCAACGGCAUAGCAGGGAAGCGAAGUGCGGAUGGGAUAAACGCUGAAGGCAUCUAAGCGUGAAGCCCACCUCAAGAAUAAGACUCCACAAUAGACCCCUGGAGGACUACCAGGUAGAUAGGUCAUCGGUGGAAGCGCUGUAAGGCGUGUAGCUUGAUGAUACUAAUCGGUCGAAAGCUUCAUUUA
This 2068-nucleotide ribosomal RNA is filed under the name human gut metagenome. RNAcentral's name for it is "bacterial LSU rRNA". It matches the Rfam family "Bacterial large subunit ribosomal RNA", at positions 829 to 2925 of the family's 2925-position model. The record is from RNAcentral.